Molecule: non-coding RNA, 472 nt
Organism: Prunus avium (sweet cherry)
Lineage: Eukaryota; Viridiplantae; Streptophyta; Magnoliopsida; Rosales; Rosaceae
Source: RefSeq, a predicted model, not a curated record
AAAGACUAACCAUGGUUUUAAGUUUUGGUGGAUUUGGACUAAAAUUAAUUCUUUUGUCACACUAAAGAAUUUAAUUACAUUGAUCCUCUCUGCUGAAUUUGGACUUACAGUGUUGGUGGUUGCCGGAUGGCGUUAGCCUGUAGCCAGCUCCGAGAUGCAAGUGAUGUAAAUGACCAUGAAGAGUGCAUUAUUGUUCUUGACCUUGUUAACCAAGAGUUUCUCGUCUUGCGGGAGAAUCUGAAUCACAUUGUUCAGAUGGAACGCGCAAUCCAUGAAAAUGAGAUCAAAAGGCGCAAUACGUAGAGAGAGCUGGUUUGUUCACUUUGUUAGGAGAACUUCUCCAGAAGCUCAUUGGUUUCUUUAUUAUGUUGUUGGCUAUGGAAUAAAAGUUCAUUACUGAACUUACUAUCUAUUAUUACAGACACAUAUAAUUUAUGGAAAAAUUAAGGUCCAUGGGUGAAAUGCUUGUUUC